GUGGGGAAUUUUGGACAAUGGGCGCAAGCCUGAUCCAGCAAUGCCGCGUGCAGGAAGAAGGCCUUCGGGUUGUAAACUGCUUUUGUACGGAACGAAACGGUCCGGGUUAAUACCCUGGGCUAAUGACGGUACCGUAAGAAUAAGCACCGGCUAACUACGUGCCAGCAGCCGCGGUAAUACGUAGGGUGCAAGCGUUAAUCGGAAUUACUGGGCGUAAAGCGUGCGCAGGCGGUUUGGUCAGACAGGCGUGAAAUCCCCGGGCUCAACCUGGGAAUUGCUCUUGGGACUGCAAGGCUGGAGUGCGGCAGAGGGGGAUGGAAUUCCGCGUGUAGCAGUGAAAUGCGUAGAUAUGCGGAGGAACACCGAUGGCGAAGGCAAUCCCCUGGGCCUGUACUGACGCUCAUGCACGAAAGCGUGGGGAGCAAACAGGAUUAGAAACCCCGGUAGUCC
Molecule: ribosomal RNA, 450 nt
Filed under: uncultured bacterium
Lineage: Bacteria
Description: bacterial SSU rRNA
Rfam family: Bacterial small subunit ribosomal RNA
Source: RNAcentral